AAAAAAAUCCUCUCCCAUAGAAAAUAUCAACAUCAGACCAGCAAAAUAAGUAUGACCUAAACAUUAAUGGGUCUCUUUCUUGGCCUUUCGUUCUGAUAUAUACUGUAUAUCUUUGAACUUAUUGUUAGCAUAAACAUCAAAUGGCAUUCCGCACAGGAGUAAUCUAAGGAACGCCCACUGCGGUUUCAAACCUACAACGUCCUGUUAGAAAGUCGUACAUACGCUACAUGUGACAUAUCUUCAAAAAACAUAUAAAUUUAUGCGAAAUUAAUAUAAAACUACAAAUUAAUAAUAGAAAUGAAACCCAAAAAAAAAGCUGUAAUCUCUAGGAGCGUCCCGACUGAGAUUUGAACCCGCGGUCUCUGCUUUGAAAAGCAAACGCCUUAGUAACAAGUCCACAACGUGCCUUGACAAUUGGCUCUAAAUUCGGCUUCAGUUAGCUUUCGCUAUGUGUCACUCAUUCGUUUUGAUGAUUCUAUUCAAUAAAAGAAAUAGUUUGCAGUAAGUUGACUGACAGGCCCCUGUCAAUGGUUGAAGGGCAAAACGUGAGAUAGAUGUAUGUGAUGACAAGACUGUACUGCUUUCGAUGAUUGUCAAACCGCUUUACCUAAAAUUAGUAUAGCUAUCAUUCAUUCAAUAUACGACCAUACAUGUAUGCUUUAAACGUCUAUUUUUCCAUAUUGUUCAGAUAUAUUUGACACGAUGACCGCUUAGAUACCAGUGGUUUUUCGACAGCUAAGGUAUCAAUGAUUUGUUGUAAGUGUAGAAAUUAAUGAAUAGCGACUGUUAAGAUAUUUGUGACAUGUUGAGCGCUCACAAGUAAAUGCUACCAUGACAGUCAACAACUUUUUGACAGUUUAAACGUUUACCUCUCUUUGAGCACCUGGAGUGUAUAGCGACUUCUGCUGCUGACUGUAGUAAUAUCAUAGAGUUAGUCCAAGAAAAGUUUGCAGCGAUUUUGAUAGUCCACGCAGUGCAAG
This is a long non-coding RNA of Cydia splendana, 980 nucleotides long. RefSeq lists it as uncharacterized. Lineage: Eukaryota; Metazoa; Arthropoda; Insecta; Lepidoptera; Tortricidae. The record is from RefSeq and is a predicted model, not a curated record. The transcript has 3 exons.